UCCUCGUUAGUAUAGUGGACUGCAUUGCUGCUUGUCACGCAGAAGACCAGGGUUCGAUUCCUUGACGGGGAG
Molecule: non-coding RNA, 72 nt
Organism: Gasterosteus aculeatus (three-spined stickleback)
Lineage: Eukaryota; Metazoa; Chordata; Actinopteri; Perciformes; Gasterosteidae
Source: Rfam